Molecule: transfer RNA, 72 nt
Filed under: Bacteroidaceae bacterium
Lineage: Bacteria; Pseudomonadati; Bacteroidota; Bacteroidia; Bacteroidales; Bacteroidaceae
Description: tRNA-Met
Rfam family: tRNA
About the family: Transfer RNA (tRNA) molecules are approximately 80 nucleotides in length. Their secondary structure includes four short double-helical elements and three loops (D, anti-codon, and T loops).
Source: RNAcentral
UGCGGGAUGGAGCAGUGGUAGCUCGGCUGGCUCAUAACCAGCAGGUCGAGGGUUCGAAUCCCUCUCCCGCCA